CCCAUUAUGGCAACCCUAUGAAUCAGUGACCUCCAAGAGCAUCUGUCAUGAACCACCCUGUUUAUAUCUUGUAAAUUCAGUUUUCACACCUCCUUCAUCUUGGUCCACUUUACACAUCUGAUGAUGUAACAUUGCAGGUGGAACAAGAGACAACAAAAGAAGAAAGAAUGAGAAGAAAGAAUGAGAAGAGGAAAAGCAGGGCUCUUCUUCUGAAGCUGAAUGUUGGAAGUUUCAGGAUAAAAGGAAGUACUACUUUAUACAACACAUAAUUCAACAAUUGAAUUUGCUCCUACAAGAGGUAGUGAUGGCUACCAACUUGGAGGGCUUUACAAGAGAAUUAUGCAUAUUCACAGAGGAUAAUGCUAUCAAUGGCUUCUAGCCAUGGUGGAUAUGUUCUGCCUCCCCUGUUGGAGGCAGUAUGCCUUGGACUACCAGUUGUUGGGAACUGCAGAUGGGAAGCAUACUAUAGUGCUCAGAUUCUGCUUGCAGGCUUCCACAUGGGCAUCUGGUUGGCUACUGUGAGAACAGUGUUGGACUAGAUGGGCUUUUAGUUUGAUCCAGCAGAGUUCUUAUGUUCCCUAGCUCAGCUGUUAGUAGUAGCUCCUAACUUGCUCUUCCACCUUCUGUGAUGACAUCAUAUUUCAUCAUCAGAUUCUUCUUCUGAUACUCUCCUUGCUCCUCCCUCACCAUCUCCAGGGUUACCAUGGGAACAGCAAUAAACAAUGUUGCACCAUGGCCAUUCUAUUCCCCAUUCCUUACUGGAUGCUCGAUCAGUUAGGAGUGGUGAAGUUACUCUCUCCAGAGAUUACCAGAAGACUUUCUACCCUUGUCUUAUUUUAAAAUUAUUUUUCAUCAUGGCAGGUAGGAAAUUGUGCUACCUAGAUGUUCAGAAGGAUCCUUCCUUGUCCCAAAGGGCACAUAGAGAAGUGAAGAAUGCAACUGAGAAGGCAUCACAGCCUUACACGGCUUGGGACCACAAUACCUGAUGGAACGCCUCUCCCGAUACAAACCCACCCGUACACUAUGUUCAAGAUCAAAGGUGCUCCUCCGGGUGCCUACUCCAAGGGAAGCUUGGAGAAUGGCAACAAGGGAGAGGGGCCUUCUCAGUGGUGGCCCCCAAAUUAUGAAAUGAUCUUCUUGAGGAGGUAUCCCUGGCGCCAACACUGUUAUAUUUUCGGCUCCAGGUCAAGAUUUUCCUCUUCUCCCAGGCAUUUUAGCAUGUGUUUUAUAUUGUUUUAAAUUUUUAAAUUGUGUUUUAAAUUGUUUUUUAAAAAGAUAUAUUUUAAAUUGUAUUUGUUUUUAGUUACUGUAAACUGCCCAGAGAGCUUCGGCUAUGGGGCGGUAUACAGUAGGGCCCCGCUUAUACAGCGGGUUAGGGACCAGGCCCCUGCCAUUAAGCAGAAAUCGCUGUAAAACGGAACCCAUUGACUAUAAUGGGCCGCAUCGCGUGAAAAUGCCGCAAAAGCGACUUUAAAACGAGGAAUUUCCCCUAAUUGAAAGCCGCUGCAUCAGCGGAACGCCACAAAAUGGAACGCUGGUAACCGGGGCCCUACUGUACAAGUAUAAUAAAUAAAUAAAUAAAUAAAUAAAUCACAGGACACAAUCAAGCAAAAUUAGUUGCAGCUCAGUAGAAGUAACCCCAGUAGGGCUUCAGUUAGCCAUAACUAAAGCCUAUUCUAUGGUGUUCAAUAAAUAAAUUUUGCAGGAAGUGCCCACAAUGUCUCGGGUACUUUCUCUGGUAUGUAUUUCUAUGCUGCCAUAUGCGUAGUGGGCAUUUUUACAGAGUAGAAUAAGCAAAAAAAAAAAAAGAAGUGGGGUUUAGCACCUCUGUGUCUGUUGGGAGGAACCUAAUGGAAAAUCCUGGAUAAAUAGUUUGCAAGAAAAAGCAGAUGACUUUUCUUGCAUACACACACAGACACAGUAUUCUCCAGUAAAUAAUUUUAAAUGUGAGGUGGGGCCUCCCCAAAGAUCUUUGGGCAUUUGCUGGGGACAGCAUGAAAUCAUCCCUGCCAUUCUCUUUCACACUAUAUUUUCAUAAAGAAGAAGAAAAAGUUGAGGAGCCAAAUUGAAAAGAUCCCCUCACAAAUGAGAUACCGGCUUGAAAUACAUAUAUGUCUGAGGAUAUCUUUUGUUAAAGACAGCAUUUCCACUCUUUAACUUGACU
Rhineura floridana is the source of this 2164-nucleotide long non-coding RNA. RefSeq lists it as uncharacterized. The transcript is spliced from 3 exons. The record is from RefSeq and is a predicted model, not a curated record. NCBI's taxonomy places the organism in Eukaryota, Metazoa, Chordata, Lepidosauria, Squamata, Rhineuridae.